UACGUAGGGUGCAAGCGUUGUCCGGAAUUAUUGGGCGUAAAGAGCUCGUAGGCGGUUUGUCGCGUCUGCUGUGAAAACUGGGGGCUCAACCUCCAGCCUGCAGUGGGUACGGGCAGACUAGAGUGCGGUAGGGGAGAUUGGAAUUCCUGGUGUAGCAGUGAAAUGCGUAGAGAUCGGGAGGAACAUCCGUGGCGAAGGCGGCCAUCUGGACCAGCACUGACACUGAGGCACGAAAGCGUGGGGAGCAAACAGG
RNAcentral lists this ribosomal RNA (253 nucleotides) under uncultured bacterium. RNAcentral's name for it is "partial 16S ribosomal RNA". It matches the Rfam family "Bacterial small subunit ribosomal RNA", at positions 524 to 776 of the family's 1533-position model. The record is from RNAcentral.